RNAcentral lists this non-coding RNA (37 nucleotides) under Trypanosoma brucei brucei. Lineage: Eukaryota; Euglenozoa; Kinetoplastea; Trypanosomatida; Trypanosomatidae. The record is from RNAcentral.
AUAAAUAUGAGGGCAAAUAGAUCCCUCGUAUAUGACA